UGCAUCUGAAGCCUGACGAGGAUGAGAACCUCCGGGGGCAAGAGGUUCGACUCGAGCGCAGCGAGAGAACGUUGCGUCA
RNAcentral lists this small RNA (79 nucleotides) under Salmonella enterica. Its description in RNAcentral is "partial RtT sRNA". It matches the Rfam family "RtT RNA", at positions 1 to 75 of the family's 130-position model. Rfam says of the family: This family represents a bacterial cis-regulatory element known as RtT RNA. The exact function of RtT is unknown although it is thought that it may be involved in changing the cellular response in relation to amino acid starvation. Lineage: Bacteria; Pseudomonadati; Pseudomonadota; Gammaproteobacteria; Enterobacterales; Enterobacteriaceae. RNAcentral also lists the same sequence under 1 other name. The record is from RNAcentral.